This 1797-nucleotide long non-coding RNA is filed under the name Mytilus galloprovincialis (Mediterranean mussel). The record is from RNAcentral. Lineage: Eukaryota; Metazoa; Mollusca; Bivalvia; Mytilida; Mytilidae.
CUUUAAUUUGUCGCGCAUUAUUUACAACAAGUGUACUAUUGUGUAUAAUUAUUGUUUGCUAUGAGAAUUACAUAACUUUGAUCUGCUUUGGGAUAUUUUAUUUGACAUUCAAAGUCACGGAACGAAAAUUCAAGGAAGUUUUGCCUGUAAAUAAAAAGGCUGUUCUGAUAACUGGAUGUGAUACAGGUAUUUAUUUUAAGAUGUUACCAUAUAUAAUUGGUCUUUUUCGUACCGCGGGUAAAUUAUGACGUUGCGGUUGGUUAAACGCCUUCACGUGGUGACCCCUAUGAAUACGUAAGAGUUAUCAAAUUUUAUAUGUGAUUCUAAAAACUGCAAUUUUAUGGUGAUGUCAUCAGUUGAUGUUGUUGUAUUUCAUUGUUUAUUUUUCUACAAAACGCACCAGGAAAAUCCCGCGUGCGAUAAAUCCGUCAUACAGUCAACAACUACCCCCCACGGACCAUAGAAGGUGAGUAAAAUAUGUAGGAGAUUCGGCCUUCGUCCUCAAUCCCUAUGGAUUUUAUCAACCUUCCUCUAUGGAUCCGAAGAGGGUCAGUAGCGAACCAUUUUACUUAUAUUUUUUAACUACAUCACACUUUGGAUUAAAUAUUUCCGAAAUUUGUUUUAUCAAAAUAGCUAAAGAAGAUGUGUAGAGUCCGUCACUGAUACAAUAACCUAACAACAUAGUACACUUACAAUACCUAAACACAUGCAUCUUGGUUAGCAUACUGUAUUGACAUACAGUGCUCGAUUGGUAUUUAACCCCUUUUUUAACACUUUUGUGAUUUUUUUCGUGGCGGUCAGUUCUUUCUUAUUUGUGUGGGAAGCCAUACAGAGGAGGAAAACUGAUAAUUAUAAGAUUGGAAUUGAGAGCAUAUAUUACGGGAUUCGAAAUCACAAACUCGGUGUUGACAGGCUAUUUAUAAAGUAUUUGGACUACUUCUAAAAAAUCUAAACACCAAUUGGCAACCCAGGUCCUUGUUUAUCUAAUGAGAUGUGUAGAAUAUACUAAUGGAGAUACAUACCAAACAAUACAAGAAUGCAAUCAAAUGACAUUGAUAUUGACAUACAAAAAAGUUUCUAUAGAAUAUGUAAAGUUCUGAAAGGCACAGUCUAUAGUAAUAUGGGAACGAAGUCCCCAAUAACAGUAGAAAAAUCAUUAAAAAAAACAAAAAAAAAACAAACAAAAACGGGAAAAUUUUCCCGAAAUUUAACCAUUUACAGGUAAUGCCUGCCUCUUAUUAUCGUAAACUAUUUAAAUAGAGACGAUAAGAUAUAUUGUAAGAUUAUAAAGUAUCUUCAGUCAAUAGUUUGUCAUAAGAUAUGCUGAAUGAUUUGCUCCGACACAUAGUAAAACGAAACCGUGGUUUGUUUCUGACAAAUAUUCCGUAAUUGUUAAUAAAAAAAAAAAGAUAAUAACAAAAUCUACAUGUAUAUACAAGUACGUGCAGUGGAUGUACUUGACCUUUUUGAAAAUCGUAAACAGUGACCUUGUUAAAGAAAAAAAUCAAUGAGACAACUAUUCAUCAUGGACAAAAUAACAUUCAAGUUAACAACUAUUAGUCACCAUGCAUCCUUCAUCAAUGAGCGAAUCCCGUUUCGCAUAGUAAGUCUUGUCGGUUUCUUUUAUAGGAUUUGGGCACGACUUAGCAUACCGGCUGGUAGAUGACGGGUUUAUUGUGUUUGCUGGUGUGUUAAACUACAAUGGAAAAGGAGCAUGUGAACUAAGAAAUAGGAAUCUUCGAAAUUUAAAUGUUGUACAACUAGAUCUUACAAAGUCUAAUGAAAUAGACAAAUUAG